AUCAUACAGAAAGCUGCUUUGCGUCAUUUUCUGUAUAGGCGUGUCGUAAGUUUAAUUUUUCCUUAAACAUUAAUGAUUGUUCAGUUUAAAAUUCUAAAAUAUGCAUUAAGUACUUAUCAAUACAAGGAGACGAACAUUUUGUUGCUGUAAUGCUAACCGCUUACUAAUAACUGUUCUAUACCCUUCUGAAUUAUAGCUAGGCUUAUCGAAAAUUUUUAGCAACUGACUAAGUUGUUUACACCGAGAUUGUCAGCACAUAGUGCCACCCAAACAAUUGGAUCAUUAUUUCCAGAGUUGUCUUCAACAAGAGGAUGCUCAGGUAUUCCAGAAAGCAAGAAACAUGAAAAUUAAGUGUCGGAAAGAAAUUUAUAACAUUGCUAAGCGAUAAGAAGCGCUGCAGUGCAAUAACCGACCACCACCACAAUCAUCAAUAUUUAUUAUUAUCUAAACUAUUGAAACCAAAUUACAUUAUAGUUGUCUAUUUUCAUAUCUUAACAGGUAUUAAAUACAUGAUGAAUAAAAAAACUAUCUAGUCUA
Long non-coding RNA from Homalodisca vitripennis (glassy-winged sharpshooter), 537 nucleotides. RefSeq lists it as uncharacterized. Lineage: Eukaryota; Metazoa; Arthropoda; Insecta; Hemiptera; Cicadellidae. The record is from RefSeq and is a predicted model, not a curated record. The transcript has 2 exons.